AAAUUGAAGAGUUUGAUCAUGGCUCAGAUUGAACGCUGGCGGCAGGCCUAACACAUGCAAGUCGAGCGGAAACGAGUUAUCUGAACCUUCGGGGGACGAUAACGGCGUCGAGCGGCGGACGGGUGAGUAAUGCCUAGGAAAUUGCCCUGAUGUGGGGGAUAACCAUUGGAAACGAUGGCUAAUACCGCAUGAUGCCUACGGGCCAAAGAGGGGACCUUCGGGCCUCUCGCGUCAGGAUAUGCCUAGGUGGGAUUAGCUAGUUGGUGAGGUAAGGGCUCACCAAGGCGACGAUCCCUAGCUGGUCUGAGAGGAUGAUCAGCCACACUGGAACUGAGACACGGUCCAGACUCCUACGGGAGGCAGCAGUGGGGAAUAUUGCACAAUGGGCGCAAGCCUGAUGCAGCCAUGCCGCGUGUGUGAAGAAGGCCUUCGGGUUGUAAAGCACUUUCAGUCGUGAGGAAGGUAGUGUAGUUAAUAGCUGCAUUAUUUGACGUUAGCGACAGAAGAAGCACCGGCUAACUCCGUGCCAGCAGCCGCGGUAAUACGGAGGGUGCGAGCGUUAAUCGGAAUUACUGGGCGUAAAGCGCAUGCAGGUGGUUUGUUAAGUCAGAUGUGAAAGCCCGGGGCUCAACCUCGGAAUUGCAUUUGAAACUGGCAGACUAGAGUACUGUAGAGGGGGGUAGAAUUUCAGGUGUAGCGGUGAAAUGCGUAGAGAUCUGAAGGAAUACCGGUGGCGAAGGCGGCCCCCUGGACAGAUACUGACACUCAGAUGCGAAAGCGUGGGGAGCAAACAGGAUUAGAUACCCUGGUAGUCCACGCCGUAAACGAUGUCUACUUGGAGGUUGUGGCCUUGAGCCGUGGCUUUCGGAGCUAACGCGUUAAGUAGACCGCCUGGGGAGUACGGUCGCAAGAUUAAAACUCAAAUGAAUUGACGGGGCCCGCACAAGCGGUGGAGCAUGUGGUUUAAUUCGAUGCAACGCGAAGAACCUUACCUACUCUUGACAUCCAGAGAACUUUCCAGAGAUGGAUUGGUGCCUUCGGGAACUCUGAGACAGGUGCUGCAUGGCUGUCGUCAGCUCGUGUUGUGAAAUGUUGGGUUAAGUCCCGCAACGAGCGCAACCCUUAUCCUUGUUUGCCAGCGAGUAAUGUCGGGAACUCCAGGGAGACUGCCGGUGAUAAACCGGAGGAAGGUGGGGACGACGUCAAGUCAUCAUGGCCCUUACGAGUAGGGCUACACACGUGCUACAAUGGCGCAUACAGAGGGCAGCCAACUUGCGAAAGUGAGCGAAUCCCAAAAAGUGCGUCGUAGUCCGGAUUGGAGUCUGCAACUCGACUCCAUGAAGUCGGAAUCGCUAGUAAUCGUGGAUCAGAAUGCCACGGUGAAUACGUUCCCGGGCCUUGUACACACCGCCCGUCACACCAUGGGAGUGGGCUGCAAAAGAAGUAGGUAGUUUAACCUUCGGGGGGACGCUUACCACUUUGUGGUUCAUGACUGGGGUGAAGUCGUAACAAGGUAGCGCUAGGGGAACCUGGCGCUGGAUCACCUCCUUAAACGAUGAU
This 1560-nucleotide ribosomal RNA is filed under the name Vibrio parahaemolyticus. RNAcentral describes it as "bacterial SSU rRNA". It matches the Rfam family "Bacterial small subunit ribosomal RNA". The record is from RNAcentral. Lineage: Bacteria; Pseudomonadati; Pseudomonadota; Gammaproteobacteria; Vibrionales; Vibrionaceae.